Molecule: non-coding RNA, 322 nt
Filed under: Albugo candida
Lineage: Eukaryota; Oomycota; Peronosporomycetes; Albuginales; Albuginaceae
Description: Bacterial small subunit ribosomal RNA
Rfam family: Bacterial small subunit ribosomal RNA
Source: Rfam by way of RNAcentral
GUCGUAUAAAGUUCUAGAUAGAUGAUUGAUUAUGACAGUUUUCUAUCUAUAUGUCUUGACCAAAUCUUGUGCCAGCAGUCGCGGCAAUACAAGGAAGACUAGUGUUAUUCAUCUUAAUUAGGUUUAAAGGGUACCUAGACAGUAUUUCUAGCCUCAAAAGGGAACAGACUUACUAGAGUUUUAUGGGAGAGGAAAAUAUUAGAACCAUUGGAGUAGAGAUAAAAUGUUUUGAUACUAAUGGGACGGAUAGCGGCGAAGGCAAACCUCUAUGUAAUAACUGACGUUGAGGGACGAAGGCUUGGGGAGCGAAUAGGAUUAGAUA